Patiria miniata (bat star) is the source of this 817-nucleotide long non-coding RNA. RefSeq lists it as uncharacterized. The record is from RefSeq and is a predicted model, not a curated record. NCBI's taxonomy places the organism in Eukaryota, Metazoa, Echinodermata, Asteroidea, Valvatida, Asterinidae. The transcript is spliced from 4 exons.
CGCGGAGAUGUUCAGACACACUUUUAAGAAACUUCGUGAAAACAUCUGAAUUCAUCGACGACACAGCAUCAGGAUAAAGGGAAUCACAGCAUGAAUUGUGCAGCUCUUGGAAUUACGGUCCUGAUCAUCGCCAUGGCGAUCUCAGCCAAUGGCGAACUACUAGGUGAUCUUGACUACAGGCCCACCCUCUACGAUGACCCCGUGAAACGAGCGGCCGGGGUUUUCGAUGCUGGUUAUUUGGUCAAGCGUGGGACUGGCAUGAGAUUUAGAAAAUGCGUCAAUCCAUUCACAAAGGAAAAAUGUCACUGCGAUCUCUACCGAAAGGGCCCAAAGUACAUCCACUGCCGCAAAUAAGGCUCCAGAUGAGAAAUCAGUGAUCACAAGAUAUACUGCAGCAACAUUCCCAUGUGCGUCUGUCGACAGUUCGUAAUAAAAGAUGCGUUGUGAUUUUAUCACUGUGGCAUCUGUGUUUCCAAUAUAGCUGUGUCUUAAGUGGCUCAAGUUGGUUGUAUGGUGUAUUCGUCGGCAAGCAAACUUCUUUUCGUUUUCGUAAAAGCUCCGAAAACGAGAGUCCUUGUUAUAACUAAAAUGUUUCCUGCGGUUUUUUCAAAAACAUUCCUGUCAGAAUUUUUGUCAGACUAUCGGGACCUGGAACAGUUUUCAGCCCAAACAAUUUCCAACCCAACAAGCUCAUUUGGUGGUAUUAUUCCUGGCUGUUUCUUUCGUCAGAGUUAGAAGUACCUUUGUCUUUUUUUCUUCGUUUUUUUUAGUAUUAUGUGAUUUUUUGAGACUUAACCCUAAAGGGGCCGCGGGCGGA